AGCUGCCAAUCACAGUGAGCAGUGGGGAAUAUUGCACAAUGGGCGCAAGCCUGAUGCAGCGACGCCGCGUGAGGGAUGAAGGCCUUCGGGUCGUAAACCUCUUUCGGCAGGGACGAAGCGAUCAGUGACGGUACCUGCAGAAGAAGCCCCGGCUAACUACGUGCCAGCAGCCGCGGUAAGACGUAGGGGGCGAGCGUUGUCCGGAUUUAUUGGGCGUAAAGCGCGCGUAGGCGGCUACGCAAGUCGGUUGUGAAAUUCCGGGGCUCAACCCCGGAACUGCGUCCGAUACUGCGUGGCUAGAGGUAGGUAGGGGAGAUCGGAAUUCCUGGUGUAGCGGUGAAAUGCGCAGAUAUCAGGAGGAACACCGGUGGCGAAGGCGGAUCUCUGGGCCUUACCUGACGCUCAGGCGUGAAAGCUAGGGGAGCGAACAGGAUUAGAUACCCUGGUAGUCCUAGCCGUAAACGUUGGGUGCUAGGUGUGGGCGGAUAUCGACCCCGUCCGUGCCGAAGCUAACGCAUUAAGCACCCCGCCUGGGGAGUACGGCCGC
RNAcentral lists this ribosomal RNA (547 nucleotides) under uncultured Frankia sp. RNAcentral's name for it is "bacterial SSU rRNA". It matches the Rfam family "Bacterial small subunit ribosomal RNA", at positions 327 to 889 of the family's 1533-position model. The record is from RNAcentral. Lineage: Bacteria; Bacillati; Actinomycetota; Actinomycetes; Frankiales; Frankiaceae.